GGAGUGGCUGUGGCUCAGUGGUAGAACAUCUGCUUGAUCUGUGGAAGGCCUUUGGUUCAGUCCCCAGCAUCUCCA
RNAcentral lists this transfer RNA (75 nucleotides) under Sphaerodactylus townsendi. RNAcentral's name for it is "tRNA-Ile". Lineage: Eukaryota; Metazoa; Chordata; Lepidosauria; Squamata; Sphaerodactylidae. The record is from RNAcentral.